RNAcentral lists this microRNA (21 nucleotides) under Triticum aestivum (bread wheat). RNAcentral describes it as "tae-miR1127b-3p". The record is from miRBase by way of RNAcentral. Lineage: Eukaryota; Viridiplantae; Streptophyta; Magnoliopsida; Poales; Poaceae.
ACAAGUAUUUCUGGACGGAGG